AUUGAACGCUGGCGGCGUGCCUAACACAUGCAAGUCGAGCGGUAACAGGUGUAGCAAUACAUGCUGACGAGCGGCGGACGGGUGAGUAACGCUUGGGAAUCUGCCUAUUAGUGGGGGACAACCCGGGGAAACUCGGGCUAAUACCGCAUACGCUCUACGGAGGAAAGCCGGGGACCGCAAGGCCUGGCGCUAAUAGAUGAGCCCAAGUCGGAUUAGCUAGUUGGUAGGGUAAUGGCCUACCAAGGCGACGAUCCGUAACUGGUCUGAGAGGACGACCAGUCACACCGGAACUGAGACACGGUCCGGACUCCUACGGGAGGCAGCAGGUGGGGAAUAUUGGACAAUGGGCGAAAGGCCUGAUCCAGCGACGCCGCGUGGGUGAAGAAGGCCUGCGGGUUGUAAAG
RNAcentral lists this ribosomal RNA (404 nucleotides) under uncultured bacterium. RNAcentral describes it as "bacterial SSU rRNA". It matches the Rfam family "Bacterial small subunit ribosomal RNA", at positions 29 to 430 of the family's 1533-position model. The record is from RNAcentral.